This is a long non-coding RNA of Rosa rugosa (rugosa rose), 1199 nucleotides long. RefSeq lists it as uncharacterized. NCBI's taxonomy places the organism in Eukaryota, Viridiplantae, Streptophyta, Magnoliopsida, Rosales, Rosaceae. The transcript has 3 exons. The record is from RefSeq and is a predicted model, not a curated record.
GCAUCGAGGCCUGAAAUUGAAGUUUUUACGUCGAUCGGAGCCCUCGCCGGAUUCUGCAAAAUUCUGCAAAUUUUCCGACCACCGAAGCUUUCGAUCGGUAUAUCUCGAGCUACAGACCAUAUUUUUCUGUGAUUCUUGAACCAAUGCGUUCGUCUUGAGUUUCUUAACAACUCUCUAGAAGGAAUCGAAGCCUGAAAUUGAAGUUUUGACGUCGAAAUCAAGCCUUGCCGGAUUCUGCAAAUUUCGCCGGAUUCUGGAAAUUUUCCGGCCACCUCGACUGUUCUAGGUUAUCGACGGAUUGAUUUGGUGGACGAUUCGGAUUGAUGUAUUUGGCUUUUUAGAAGACGCAGCUGGAUUAGAGGUUAUCGACGGAUUGAUUUGGUGGACGAUUCGGAUUGAUGUAUUUGGCUUUUUAGAAGACGCAGCUGGAUUAGAGGUGAGUAAACCUCACGUGGUUCAUAUUACGAACCGAAUAAAUUUAAUUACCUUAUUUUGUCGUAAUUGCGUGAAAAUAUUUAUGAAAUAAAUAUUUGUUUUAAAAUCAUAUGGACUUGAUCAACUACGGUCCAUGGGUAAGUAAAAUGAUUUUUACUAUACAAAUGAAUUUCUCAGUUUUAUUGCAUGUGAACUAUAGUUGGUAUUAGUGAUUAUCCCUGAGCGGAUAAUUACGUAUAUAUAUAUUUACGUGAUUAUAUGUGAAUGGUGUGACAUUGAAGAGUGUGGAAUUGGGAUGAUUAAAUUAUUAUGAAUUGACAUGUGACUUACCAUAUUUUUAUGUGAUGAACAUGAUUGAUGAGUUCUUGUUAAUAUUCAAGAUUUACAUUGGAGGAUGUAUAGAGUUGGAGAAAGUAGGAUUCUGAGGACGAGGUGUCCGAAGUUCGACGGUUAAGGAUAACCGGAGUGUUUGUGUACUGAGGACGGGGAUGUCCAAGGUGCGACGGUUUAUUAUUAACCGAAGUUGUGUACUGAGGACGGGGAUGUCCAAGGUGCGACGGUUUAUUAUUAACCGAAGUUGUGUGCUGAGGACGGGGAUGUCCAAAGCGCGACGGUUUAUUAUUAACCGAAGUAUAUGGUGCUGAGGACGGGGAUGUCCAAAGCGCGACGGUUAUAGUGUUAACCGAAGUAUUUUUGCCGUUGCUUGACCCUAGGCCAAGGUGUCAGAGGUAACGAGGCAGUUAGAGCUCUAACGUGUUAUGGGA